AACGAACGCUGGCGGCAUGCCUAACACAUGCAAGUCGAACGAGAUCUUCGGGUCUAGUGGCGCACGGGUGCGUAACGCGUGGGAAUCUGCCCUUUGGUUCGGAAUAACAGUUGGAAACGACUGCUAAUACCGGAUGAUGACGAAAGUCCAAAGAUUUAUCGCCAGAGGAUGAGCCCGCGUAGGGUUAGCGAGUUGGUGUGGUAAAGGCGCACCAAGGCGACGAGCCUUAGCUGGUCUGAGAGGAUGAUCAGCCACACUGGGACUGAGACACGGCCCAGACUCCUACGGGAGGCAGCAGUGGGGAAUAUUGGACAAUGGGCGAAAGCCUGAUCCAGCAAUGCCGCGUGAGUGAUGAAGGCCUUAGGGUUGUAAAGCUCUUUUACCCGGGAUGAUAAUGACAGUACCGGGAGAAUAAGCUCCGGCUAACUCCGUGCCAGCAGCCGCGGUAA
RNAcentral lists this ribosomal RNA (449 nucleotides) under uncultured bacterium. Its description in RNAcentral is "partial 16S ribosomal RNA". It matches the Rfam family "Bacterial small subunit ribosomal RNA", at positions 29 to 523 of the family's 1533-position model. The record is from RNAcentral.